This 90-nucleotide transfer RNA is filed under the name Pseudomonadota bacterium. Its description in RNAcentral is "tRNA-Ser". It matches the Rfam family "tRNA". Rfam says of the family: Transfer RNA (tRNA) molecules are approximately 80 nucleotides in length. Their secondary structure includes four short double-helical elements and three loops (D, anti-codon, and T loops). Further hydrogen bonds mediate the characteristic L-shaped molecular structure. tRNAs have two regions of fundamental functional importance: the anti-codon, which is responsible for specific mRNA codon recognition, and the 3' end, to which the tRNAs corresponding amino acid is attached (by aminoacyl-tRNA synthetases). tRNAs cope with the degeneracy of the genetic code in two manners: having more than one tRNA (with a specific anti-codon) for a particular amino acid; and 'wobble' base-pairing, i.e. permitting non-standard base-pairing at the 3rd anti-codon position. RNAcentral also lists the same sequence under 1 other name. Lineage: Bacteria; Pseudomonadati; Pseudomonadota. The record is from RNAcentral.
GGAGGGGUGCCCGAGCAAGGUUUAAGGGGUCCGGCUCGAAACCGGAUAUCCCCUUAUAGGGGAGCGUGGGUUCAAAUCCCACCCCCUCCG